GAUCAUGGCUCAGGACGAACGCUGGCGGCGUGCUUCAUACAUGCAAGUCGAACGAGAAUCUCUAGCUUGCUAGAGAGGAAAGUGGCGGACGGGUGAGUAAUGUGUAGAGAAUCUGCCCUUGAGCGGGGGACAACAGCUGGAAACGGUUGCUAAUACCCCAUAUGGGGUAAGUUGAAAUACUUAUCUUGAAAACUCCGGUGCUCAAGGAUGAGUCUGCAUCUGAUUAG
Molecule: ribosomal RNA, 227 nt
Filed under: uncultured bacterium
Lineage: Bacteria
Description: partial 16S ribosomal RNA
Rfam family: Bacterial small subunit ribosomal RNA
Source: RNAcentral